AUGCUCUGUUUGGCAGCACAUAUAUACAAUUAGAAAGAUAGAAGAUUAGCAUAGCCCCUGUGCAAGGACACACAAAUUUGUUAAGGAUUUUAUAGUUUU
RNAcentral lists this small nuclear RNA (99 nucleotides) under Prolemur simus (greater bamboo lemur). Lineage: Eukaryota; Metazoa; Chordata; Mammalia; Primates; Lemuridae. The record is from RNAcentral.